AAGUCGUAACAAGGUUUCCGUAGGUGAACCUGCGGAAGGAUCAUUAAAGAAUUAGGCUUCGCGGCCAAGUUCUCACCCUUUGUAUACCGAAACCAUGUUGCUUUGGCCGCCCUUGCAUUGCUCGGCCGCAGAGUUAAUCAACCUAGAAUCUCUGCUGUCUGAGUACUAUGCAAUAGUUAAAA
This 182-nucleotide unclassified non-coding RNA is filed under the name plant metagenome. RNAcentral's name for it is "partial contains small subunit ribosomal RNA and internal transcribed spacer 1". The stretch from base 1 to 46 matches the Rfam family "Eukaryotic small subunit ribosomal RNA", at positions 1786 to 1831 of the family's 1831-position model. The record is from RNAcentral.